This is a non-coding RNA of Gossypium hirsutum (cotton), 124 nucleotides long. The record is from Rfam. Lineage: Eukaryota; Viridiplantae; Streptophyta; Magnoliopsida; Malvales; Malvaceae.
AAUAGGAGAAUGACAAAUCAGAUUUUUUCUCCUGAUUUUCAGCUUUUUUCUCUCGAAUAAAAUUUAAAUUCAACUAAAAAUGCUAAAAAUCAGGAGGAAAAAUCUGAUUUAUCAUUCUCCUAUU